CUGGCUCAGGAUGAACGCUGGCGGCGUGCCUAAUACAUGCAAGUCGAACGAGGUAGCAAUACCGAGUGGCGAACGGGUGAGUAACACGUAGGUAACCUGCCCUUAAGCUUGGGAUACCCAGAGGAAACUUGGCUAAUACCGGAUAACAACAGAGAAGGCAUCUUCUUUGCUUGAAAGGCCCCUUCAAGGGUCACUUAAGGAUGGACCUGCGGCGCAUUAGCUAGUUGGUGAGAUAACAGCCCACCAAGGCGAGGAUGCGUAGCCGAACUGAGAGGUUGAUCGGCCACAUUGGAACUGAGACACGGUCCAAACUCCUACGGGAGGCAGCAGUAAGGAGUUUUCGGCAAUGGGGGAAACCCUGACCGAGCAACGCCGCGUGAGCGAUGACGGCCCUAUGGGUUGUUAAAAAGCUCUGUUGUAAGCCAUGAAUGAUAGCUUGAGGAAAUGCAAGCUAUUUGACGACAGCUUACCAGAAAGCCACGGCUAACUACGUGCCAGCAGCUGC
RNAcentral lists this ribosomal RNA (505 nucleotides) under uncultured bacterium. RNAcentral's name for it is "bacterial SSU rRNA". It matches the Rfam family "Bacterial small subunit ribosomal RNA", at positions 19 to 518 of the family's 1533-position model. The record is from RNAcentral.